Molecule: long non-coding RNA, 1284 nt
Organism: Schistocerca serialis cubense
Lineage: Eukaryota; Metazoa; Arthropoda; Insecta; Orthoptera; Acrididae
Exons: 4
Source: RefSeq, a predicted model, not a curated record
UUCAACUGGAUCAGCAUAAAAAGACAUCUCAGCACCAGAACAAUGUAACCAAGAUACAGUUAAAAACUCUACAGCAACCACUGAUAUCCUCAUUUUCGAAGCAUAUGGAUGACAAAAAUGAGUUAAAAAAUGGCUCUGAGCACUAUGGGACUUAACAUCGGAGGUCAUCAGUCCCCUUGAACUUAGAACUACUUAAACCUAACUAACCUAAGGACAUCACACACAUCCAUGCCCGAGGCAGGAUUCGAACCUGCGACCGUAGCGGUCGCAUGGUUCCAGACUGAAGCGCCUAGAACCGCUUGGCCUCUCCAGCCGGCAAAUUGAGUUCAAUGAAGAUCUUUGUGAGGCUUUAAUAUAAGCAAACAUCCCCUUGAAUAAGCUGGAGAAUGAAGGGUUAAGGACCUUCUUGAAAAAAAUACACAGGAAAAGAUAUUCCUCAUGAGUCAAUGCUCAGAAAGAACUAUGUGGACCCACUGUAUGAAAAGACAUUGGAGAAUAUUAGGAAAGACCACUGAUUCUUGCAGUCAGUAAAUGGUGCACGUCAUAGCUGGAAAACUCUCUGCUGACAAGGCUGGACGAGGACACCUCAUACUGUGUAAAGAAGUGGAACGAACGACACACACCACGAAUGCACGCACAGUGCAGGAAGCAUUGUGUGUGCUAUGGAGAUGUGAAGAUCAGAAACGUGGGGAGAACAAGGAUUUGGCCUUUGCGAUGGAUAGUGAAACAUAUAUGCUGAAGGCCGCAGAGUGUCUCCGAGGUGUUUUACCCUAAAAUUAUUCACCUCACGUGUCUGGUUCAUGGGAUACAUCAAAUUGCUGAAGAGAUCAGAGCCACAUUACCAGAGAUCAACAGCCUUAUAUCUUGGGCAAAGAAGGUUUUCAUCACGGUACCAAGUCGUGUGAGAGCUCUCAAGACUGCUCACCCCGACUGUCCUCUGCCACCUGAACCGGUCUUGACAAGGUGGGGAACGUGGAUUUCAGCUAAAAGUAUUAUGCAGACAACAACAGAAGAGUUGAAGAGUUGGAGAAGGAUGGUGCGAGCAAUGAGCUGUGAACUGCUGAAGUAAUCAUCCAACAACUGGCCAGAAGUUUUUUUAAGAAAUCUUUGGGAAACUAAUAAUUAAAACUUAUGUUUGUAACCCCCCGCCCCCAAACAGAUCAUAAAUGAGAGUGUAGUGUUUUAUCUAGACAGUGAUGAAUUGUUUUCAUUUUUGUGAAUGAGGACUGAGGAUUGUUACACAGUGGCAAAAGAUCUUUGUACAAUGUGUCUGUAUUUUUUUUA